AGCUUUGUGCAGUGGUAGUAUCAUAACCAAUGAGGUUUACCUGAGGCAUGAUUAUUGCUAAUUAAAACAUAUCACUAGACAAUUUACAAAUUAAAUAAUUAUGUAUGUUGUUUCAUUUAUGUAUUAUUGUGUAAC
Canis lupus familiaris (dog) is the source of this 135-nucleotide non-coding RNA. The record is from Rfam. NCBI's taxonomy places the organism in Eukaryota, Metazoa, Chordata, Mammalia, Carnivora, Canidae.